Meriones unguiculatus (Mongolian gerbil) is the source of this 215-nucleotide small nucleolar RNA. Lineage: Eukaryota; Metazoa; Chordata; Mammalia; Rodentia; Muridae. The record is from Ensembl.
AAGACUAUACUUUCAGGGAUCAUUUCUAUAGUUCGCUACUAGAGAAGUCUCUCUGAUCGUGUAGAGCACCCGAGACCACGAGGACGAGACGGAGCACUCCCUCCUGAGCGUGAAGCCGGCCUUCGGCGUUGCCUUCCGCUUCCGCCGAUCGCCAUUGAUGAUCGUUCUUCUCUCCCCCGGGAGAGCGAGAGGGCGGGAGUGCAGUCUGAGUGGCC